CAGCCGCCGCGGGAAUACAGAGGGUGCGAGCGUUAAUCGGAUUUACUGGGCGUAAAGCGUGCGUAGGCGGCUUUUUAAGUCGGAUGUGAAAUCCCUGAGCUUAACUUAGGAAUUGCAUUCGAUACUGGGAAGCUAGAGUAUGGGAGAGGAUGGUAGAAUUCCAGGUGUAGCGGUGAAAUGCGUAGAGAUCUGGAGGAAUACCGAUGGCGAAGGCAGCCAUCUGGCCUAAUACUGACGCUGAGGUACAAAAGCAUGGGGAGCAAACAGGAUUAAAUACCCCUGUAGUCCCUGUCUCUUAUAA
This 301-nucleotide ribosomal RNA is filed under the name uncultured bacterium. RNAcentral describes it as "partial 16S ribosomal RNA". It matches the Rfam family "Bacterial small subunit ribosomal RNA", at positions 509 to 809 of the family's 1533-position model. The record is from RNAcentral.